Long non-coding RNA from Gallus gallus (chicken), 1224 nucleotides. The record is from Ensembl. Lineage: Eukaryota; Metazoa; Chordata; Aves; Galliformes; Phasianidae.
AGUUGCCUCCAGCUAGCAACGUCAGAGGUAAUAUGGAUGACCUUGCUGAAUGCUGCAGCUUGUUACAUGGAUGUAUCCUGACUGAGGAAUCCUAGCACUCUCCAGAAAAUCUGAGUUGCAGUUAGCUGAGACUCCCCACCCCAGUAUAAAUCAUAAAAUCCAGCAAAGUGGAGACAAAACACUGUGGAGAACCAAGCCCUUCUAUAAUGCAGCUGACACAGUUAAAUAUGCCUAGUAGAACUUGUGACUGAAAGAAGAGCACUUGAGUUCACAUAAGAAGCCUGUACCCUGCACAUUUGUUAGAGUGACAGAGGAAGAUUCAGAAGACAAGCAGUGAGAAUGAGAGAGAAAUCAGUCAAAGACAAUCCUACCAAAAAAGUAAAAAUGUGGUAGGUACAUGGAACUGCUCUUUCUAUUUGUUGAUAGAGUGAAUAUUUAAAUACAAAACUAAGAAUUGAGGAAAACUUCGUAACUUUGCACAGAUGAGAGGAUCACUGGAGAAUGGGGCAGCUCAGGAUGGCUGAACUGCAAACAGAGAGAGGAAAGAUGGAGUAGAUUGUGGGUAUUUGUCACUGAAAGCAUAACCUCCUUCAUCUUUCUUCAGGCUUUGAGGUGUUUUAUCCUUCCUCUCUUUCUGUCACAAUGGGUUGUGCAUGGUCCAGGAACAAAGAAUUUAUUCUGGAAGUAGUUAGGAGCUCCAUGAAAUGCGGAUGCUGGAAGCAUGAUAGAAAUCCCUGCCCCCAAAUCUUCCAGGAGACAGUCUAAGCAAUGAAAAACAAUUUCAAAAAUAUGUAGCAGGAGUUCUGAAUGCACUGGUAGAUAUAAAAUAUAUAUAUGUAUAUUUAUAUAUUGAAAUAAGUAACCCAACUAGAAUUUAUUACUUUGAAAGCUGUGAAAAAAAUCAUGCUAGCAAACAUUUGAGUAUUCAAAUUAAGAUAUGACCUACAUGACUAUUUGAUCUCCAUGACUUUGCAGAUAUUUUUUGAGAAUAUGUUGGAUUGUUAUUUUCUGUGUGAUACAAACAAAUUUUGGUAAAAAAGAAGAUUUGACAAAGCUUGGGUUGGAAGGGGUAGUCUAACAAUCUACUGAGGAGAAUAUGAAGAAGAUUCUAAUUUAACCUAGCAAAAAUACUCUUCUUUGUCCUACGACAAUUUCAUUGGUAUAUCGAACAAGCCAUUGGUAAUUUUGAAUCUAGAGAAAACAAGCUAAAAUAUAAUGCACUGG